GACGAACGCUGACGGCGUGCUUAACACAUGCAAGUCGAAGGGAGUGGCGAACGGGUGAGUAACACGUGAGUAACCUGCCCUUUUCUUUGGGAUAAGCCUGGGAAACUGGGUCUAAUACUGGAUGGCUUGGGAUGGGCUCGCGGCUUAUCAGCUUGUUGGUGGGGUGCUGGGUUACCAAGGCUUUGACGGGUAGACGGCCUGAGAGGGCGGUCGGUGACACUGGGACUGGGAGACGGCCCAGACUCUUACGUGGGGGAGCAGUGGGGGAAAUUGCAGAAUGGACGAAAGGCUGAUGCAGCGACGUCGUGUGGGGGAUGAAGGUCGUGGGGUUGUAAACUCCUUUCGCCCGCGGAAUGGUAGUGGGUAAAGAAGCGCCGGCUAACUACGUGCCAGCAGCCGCGGUAAUAC
This 408-nucleotide ribosomal RNA is filed under the name uncultured bacterium. RNAcentral describes it as "partial 16S ribosomal RNA". It matches the Rfam family "Bacterial small subunit ribosomal RNA", at positions 28 to 526 of the family's 1533-position model. The record is from RNAcentral.